CCAAGACCUCAACGCCAUAACAAGAAGACAAUAAUGGAGAUCAAUACAACAAAAAACCCUAGUCUCCAUUAAACCUAAGCCGCCGCCGCCGACCAGCCCUACAACCACCAGCGUCCAGCCCCACGUCAACCACCAACAACCCGCCGCCGCAUAGCACAGCCACCACCAGCCCCAUCCAUUUCCUUCUUCUUAGUCCAUAACACCCAAGAACCGCUGUCAACCCUUAAAACCCGCCAGAACAACUCGCACACAGCAGCCUAACAGCCACCUCCAACGCCACCGGCCACUCUACUUGCCGGAACCAGCCUACAAACGACCUCACCACUUCAUCUCCGCCGGAAACAAGACGCACCAACAGCCAACCAGCCAUCGUGAAAACCCAUCUCCCCCAUAGCAACUAAAACUGAAAAACCAGUUCACCCCACAUCUUCUUUUCGUCUUUUAACUCGCCGGAAUCGGUCACCGGCGAGUGGCAACGCUGCCAACAACUCCACUAGCGACUACACACAUGUACAUAGUCGAAAAACAAAAAAAACAGCAAAUUAGUAAGCUC
RNAcentral lists this long non-coding RNA (553 nucleotides) under Nicotiana benthamiana. RNAcentral describes it as "long non-coding RNA (NBEN_LNC017451)". The record is from RNAcentral. Lineage: Eukaryota; Viridiplantae; Streptophyta; Magnoliopsida; Solanales; Solanaceae.